GGGGCUGACCGGAAUUGACAGCUUGUGCAGGUCGCGAGUAAGCGUGUCAGGAGUUGGACGAAGCUCUCCUGUGAAAAAAUCGCCCAAACAAUAAAUGGCGAGUAUAGCUACGCCAUGGCUGCUUAGUCUAGGUACUAAGUAAUGCCAUCGUCCCGCAUCCGUCUUCCCUUUCACGGGUGAGUACGGGGCGUCGUAAGUAAGGGGAUAGUCUUGGUGGCACUGCGACAUCAAGGCGAAACUCAAGCAGAUAAGGGUAACCUAUAGGCCUGAUGUGCGCCCGGGUUGCCACGAAAAUUCAAGCAUAGAUACACACGUAGAAAGCUCGACGGCUUCCUUGUCUGGACCAGGGUUCGAAUCCCUGCAGCUCCACAG
Hymenobacter sp. is the source of this 372-nucleotide non-coding RNA. It matches the Rfam family "transfer-messenger RNA". From Rfam's summary of the family: Bacterial tmRNA, also known as 10Sa RNA or SsrA, is named for its dual tRNA and mRNA-like properties. Its role is to liberate the mRNA from a stalled ribosome. To accomplish this part of the tmRNA is used as a reading frame that ends in a translation stop signal. Lineage: Bacteria; Pseudomonadati; Bacteroidota; Cytophagia; Cytophagales; Hymenobacteraceae. The record is from Rfam.